RNAcentral lists this long non-coding RNA (1527 nucleotides) under Olea europaea (common olive). RNAcentral's name for it is "long non-coding RNA (OEUR_LNC001700)". Lineage: Eukaryota; Viridiplantae; Streptophyta; Magnoliopsida; Lamiales; Oleaceae. The record is from RNAcentral.
UACCAAAUAGCCAUUUUCAUAUCAUAUCAUAACUUUCACUAGCAUAAUAUUAUCAACACAAAGAAAUAAAUUAAAUGAGAUAAACCACUUGCACCUCAAAAUCCUGCCUUAAACCUUUGAAAUCUUGAAGCUGCCCAAAAAUUUAUAUAAGGAUUUUGCUUUCUUCCUAAAAGAUGGAGGAUUAUAAAGGUACUUUUUAAAACUGAUUUUGUUGUUGGAAAUAAAACAAAAGUAAAAUGAUAAUUUUAUAGUGGAAGAUAAACUAAGAGAUAUUUGAAAUGGGAAAAAGAAAUGUGAGUUUAUGCAAUAAUGUGAGGUGGUUAGAAGUUAGUGGGAACAUGAGAGAUAAUGGGUGGAUUUAUUCAACUAACAAAUAAUGUGAGCACACGGAAAAUUAAAUUCGGUGGUUAAUAGGAAAUAACAAAUACGAUACAUCCAAUAUUUUUCAAACUUAAGGUUAAACAUUGAUUUAUAUAAUGUAACAUUACUUUCUUUUCCUAAUUAUCUUAAAAGUUAUUUUAUCAAGUAAUAAAAUAAUACCUAUUAAUUAUUGAAAUAACUUGGACUUAUAUGAAAUAACUAUUUAUGGAGUCAAAGACUUUUAAUUACAGUCGCAAAAGGAGUCCAAUAUUGAUAUAUUAAUUAUCACUUUAUCAAUAAUGAAUUACUCGACCCAAAAUAUUAUUGGAUUUAAUACUAUUUUACCUUAGUCCAUCAACUUUCCAAAAUUAUAGUUUUAUUCUAUAAAAUUUUCGAGGCGCUACAAAAAUCACACAAUGGAAAGACUCAAGUUGAACAAAGUCUUGAGACCAAAAUGAAGGUGGGCAAAACAUAGAGGCUCUGCAACACCUUAACACUACAAAGCAUAUCAAAAAAUGACAUCAACAUAUUAUUUAACUAGAAUGCAAAUGAUGUGCCAUAAGUGUAAAGAAUGAAAAUUCGUCAAUGAAAGAGUUGAAAAUGAGUAAAGGGCAUGGAACCAUGAAGUUGCUAACAGCAAGCUCUUCAAGAUCAUCAGAGAUUUUGAACAAAAAUAGUGAGGAAGCAUGGAAACCUUAAAACUGAAGAUCAUCGUGUCAACAAAUCCUUCUCAACUGUGCCCUCACAAACUCUAUCUGCCUCAGCACAGUUAUGGAACUGGAAGGAUGACUAAUAAUUUGCAGUGUUUGUAGGAAAAGAGAAUUCCCUUCCCAUUCCUGAAAAUAACAAUAUCCUCAUCUUCCGGCUCGAAAGUCUAGUUUCAUGAAACCAAGAAUGACAGAGGAAUGCUGUUUAUCCUCCACUGAAGCCCCACUGACAGAAAAUGGAGUAAAACUAGGCGCAGUGAGUUAAAAAUGUAAAAUUGGAAGCUUAAAUGGGUACAUACAUAUAUAUACACGGGUUAAGAGAAUGGUGGGUGGGGGAGAACUUGAUUCGCUGUUCGACUUUUAUGUAAGAUUGUGUUGGGGAAACAGUUGGAAAAAAUGAGUAAAUGGCUCACUUUUGACACAAUUUUCAGUGGGACCCGUUGGUCCAAUUUGGAAGAUC